CCAGUAGCUCUAACAACAGCACUGAUCUUUCCAUAGUAAUUAGUAAGUGCUAUUUGUUGGGGUAGUUUGA
This 70-nucleotide microRNA precursor is filed under the name Astyanax mexicanus (Mexican tetra). Its description in RNAcentral is "miR-430 microRNA precursor family". It matches the Rfam family "miR-430 microRNA precursor family". Lineage: Eukaryota; Metazoa; Chordata; Actinopteri; Characiformes; Acestrorhamphidae. The record is from Rfam by way of RNAcentral.